This is a transfer RNA of Sus scrofa (pig), 72 nucleotides long. It matches the Rfam family "tRNA". From Rfam's summary of the family: Transfer RNA (tRNA) molecules are approximately 80 nucleotides in length. Their secondary structure includes four short double-helical elements and three loops (D, anti-codon, and T loops). Further hydrogen bonds mediate the characteristic L-shaped molecular structure. tRNAs have two regions of fundamental functional importance: the anti-codon, which is responsible for specific mRNA codon recognition, and the 3' end, to which the tRNAs corresponding amino acid is attached (by aminoacyl-tRNA synthetases). tRNAs cope with the degeneracy of the genetic code in two manners: having more than one tRNA (with a specific anti-codon) for a particular amino acid; and 'wobble' base-pairing, i.e. permitting non-standard base-pairing at the 3rd anti-codon position. The record is from Rfam. Lineage: Eukaryota; Metazoa; Chordata; Mammalia; Artiodactyla; Suidae.
UUCCUGGUGGUCCAGUGGUUAGGAUUCUGCACUUUCAAUGCUGUCACCUGGGUGCAAUCCCCUGUCUGGGAA